This 283-nucleotide long non-coding RNA is filed under the name Elaeis guineensis (African oil palm). RNAcentral's name for it is "long non-coding RNA (EGUI_LNC027406)". Lineage: Eukaryota; Viridiplantae; Streptophyta; Magnoliopsida; Arecales; Arecaceae. The record is from RNAcentral.
UGUUAGGGUUUUUGUGUAAAACAAAUGAGAUGUACAUAUUUUUAUAGUAUUAUAUUCUACUGUAGAUGGCCAAGGGAGCCUUACUUUAAAAAAGAAAAACUGUUAGAUAAAGCAAACCGAACUUUACCAGUACCUUAAAUAAAGGUAAAAUGCGUGCGAUCAGCGGUGUACCUUGGUGACCAAAAGCGGGCAAUAAUUUUUGUGGUUGGAAAUAUUGGCAGGUCAGAUACGGCACCGCUCUCAUGCUCAACGAAAAAACAGGGUUCAUAUAGGUGCGGCGAUC